CUAUGGCAUGCUAAGUAAUCUAAAGUUCCCAUAGGUUUAUAUUCCAAAUUUGUAAAGACAAGCACCCUAGUUAUUCUGAGGUUUUCUUUAUCCAGGCUAAAGAAGAUCUUCAGCAGAUGCUCCAGGGAGUAUACUUGAGCAACACUCCUGGUCAUCCUGCCUGCAGCAGAUGGCAAAACAUUCUCCAGGAAGAUGUGUCAAUUUUGUCCUGUGGCUUUCUGUAUCCUAACUGGAGAAACACUGCACUGGAAUAAAGCAGAGGCUAUUCCUCUCAUCUAGGAGCCAGGCUGGUUUGCUCACUGUCUCAGAGAAGAGAUACCAUGAGAGAAAACAGAGAAAACAGGAGUCUUUUGGUGCCUUUUGGGUUUGAAAAACUUAGUAGGGAGGGUACUGGAAAUGCCUCAAGACAUGAUGAGGAAGAGCGAGCUUUCCUCAUUUCUGGACCAGAAAAAAGUUGACCACACUUGGGGAAGAUAAAAGGCAGAGGCAGGGGGUGACAAGUUAGGCAUUGGCCAGUUCCUGCACCCUGUUCCAUGAGGUGAGCCUAGAGAAGACGGAAAAAAAAGAGAAAAGUUUAUGGUAUCCAGAGUAUCCCAAUGUUGGAAAGAACCUAGGAGGGGCAAGAUUCUGGGUAAGAUUAACGAACUGGUGUGUUCAGAAAGUAAGACCAGAAACUGUCUUAAGGAGUUUUCUCUGCUCCCAUGUGAUGCAAGAACAGAACAAUUAUCAAGAUAGGCAUGCAGAUAGCAGAAAGCAUUUUUGGGCUUGAUGUCUUACAGACAAGAACUCAGGAUAUCCCAUUAGUGAUCUGUGAUGACCAGGAAUCAGAUGAGACAACGGACACCACAUUGGAUAUCAGCAGGAUGAAGAUAUAAAGUGCCAUAUGGACAUUCUCCUUUUGUACAGGAUAAGCCCUGAGGAAAUUAUUCUGGGUGUCCCAGCUGGUAGUUUAAGUUCUGUCACUCUGUUCCCCUCUGGUGGAAUGAAAACUAAAAUUACAUAUUAAGUUGCUACAGAAGAAUAAGGAUUCUGUAUCUUCUAUAUUUGUAUAUUUGAGUUGUGGUUGAAAUGUGUACACAUUACAUGCCAUAAAAUGCUUGGGUAUAUGAUGAAUUCUAAAUAUUUUAUCUGUCAAUCAAUAACUAUUAAAAUUGUUAUGUUACACAAACCCUCUGGAGUAUAGAUGGGAGGUCUGCAAACUAUGGCAGAUCAAAUCUGACUUACCCUCUGUUUAUACAAAUAAAGUUUUAUUGGAAUACAGUCAUGCUCAUUGUGUUUUCACAUCGUCUAUGACUGCUUUCGAGCUAUAGCAGAGCUGAGUAGUUGCAAUAGAGAUCCAAUGGCCCUCAAAACCUAAAAUAUUUAC
Felis catus (domestic cat) is the source of this 1366-nucleotide long non-coding RNA. RefSeq lists it as uncharacterized. Lineage: Eukaryota; Metazoa; Chordata; Mammalia; Carnivora; Felidae. The record is from RefSeq and is a predicted model, not a curated record. The transcript is spliced from 3 exons.